Molecule: ribosomal RNA, 725 nt
Filed under: uncultured bacterium
Lineage: Bacteria
Description: bacterial SSU rRNA
Rfam family: Bacterial small subunit ribosomal RNA
Source: RNAcentral
AACAGGAUUAGAUACCCUGGUAGUCCACGCCCUAAACGAUGUCUACUAGUUGUCGGGUCUUAAUUGACUUGGUAACGCAGCUAACGCGUGAAGUAGACCGCCUGGGGAGUACGGUCGCAAGAUUAAAACUCAAAGGAAUUGACGGGGACCCGCACAAGCGGUGGAUGAUGUGGAUUAAUUCGAUGCAACGCGAAAAACCUUACCUACCCUUGACAUGGCUGGAAUCCUUGAGAGAUCAGGGAGUGCUCGAAAGAGAACCAGUACACAGGUGCUGCAUGGCUGUCGUCAGCUCGUGUCGUGAGAUGUUGGGUUAAGUCCCGCAACGAGCGCAACCCUUGUCAUUAGUUGCUACGAAAGGGCACUCUAAUAAGACUGCCGGUGACAAACCGGAGGAAGGUGGGGAUGACGUCAAGUCCUCAUGGCCCUUAUGGGUAGGGCUUCACACGUCAUACAAUGGUACAUACAGAGCGCCGCCAACCCGCGAGGGGGAGCUAAUCGCAGAAAGUGUAUCGUAGUCCGGAUUGUAGUCUGCAACUCGACUGCAUGAAGUUGGAAUCGCUAGUAAUCGCGGAUCAGCAUGUCGCGGUGAAUACGUUCCCGGGUCUUGUACACACCGCCCGUCACACCAUGGGAGCGGGUUUUACCAGAAGUAGGUAGCUUAACCGCAAGGAGGGCGCUUACCACGGUAGGAUUCGUGACUGGGGUGAAGUCGUAACAAGGUAACC